UCUUGGCUAAGGUGUCUUGGCUAAUGUGUCUCGGCUAAGGUGUCUUGGCUAAGGUGUCUUGGCUAAGGUGUCUUGGCUAAGGUGUCUUGGCUAAGGUGUCUUGGCUAAGGUGUCUUGGCUAAGGUGUCUUGGCUAAGGUGCUUGGCUAAGGUGUCUUGGCUAAGGUGUCUUGGCUAAGGUGUCUUGGCUAAUGUGUCUUGGCUAAGGUGUCUUGGCUAAGGUGUCUUGGCUAAGGUGUCUUGGCUAAUGUGUCUCGGCUAAUGUGUCUUGGCUAAGGUGUCUUGGCUAAGGUGUCUUGGCUAAGGUGUCUUGGCUAAGGUGUCUUAGCUAAGGUGUCUUGGCUAAGGUGUCUUGGCUAAUGUGUCUUGGCUAAGGUGUCUUGGCUAAUGUGUCUCGGCUAAGGUGUCUUGGCUAAGGUGUCUUGGCUAAGGUGUCUCGGCUAAUGUGUCUUGGCUAAUGUGUCUUGGCUAAAGUGUCUUGGCUAAGGUGUCUUGGCUAAUGUGUCUUGGCUAAUGUGUCUUGGCUAAAGUGUCUUGGCUAAGGUGUCUUGGCUAAGGUGUCUUGGCUAAUGUGUCUUGGCUAAAGUGUCUUGGCUAAGGUGUCUUGGCUAAUGUGUCUUGGCUAAGGUGUCUUGGCUAAGGUGUCUUGGCUUAUGUGUCUUGGCUAAUGUGUCUCGGCUAAAGUGUCUUGGCUAAGGUGUCUUGGCUAAGGUGUCUUGGCUAAUAUGUCUUGGCUAAAGUGUCUUGGCUUAGGUGUCUUGGCUAAUGUGUCUCGGCUAAGGUGUCUUGGCUAAGGUGUCUUGGCUAAUGUGUCUUGGCUAAGGUGUCUUGGCUAAGGUGUCUUGGCAAAGGUGUCUUGGCUAAGGUGUCUUGGCUAAGGUGUCUUGGCUAAUGUGUCUCGGCUAAAGUGUCUUGGCUAAGGUGUCUUGGCUAAGGUGUCUUGGCUAAGGUGUCUUGGCUAAGGUGUCUUGGCUAAUGCGUCUUGGCUAAUGUGUCUUGGCUAAGGUGUCUUGGCUAAUGUGUCUCGGCUAAGGUGUCUUGGCUAAGGUGUCUUGGCUAAUGUGUCUUGGCUAAUGUGUCUCGGCUAAUGUGUCUUGGCUAAGGUGUCUUGGCUAAGGUGUCUUGGCUAAGGUGUCUUGGCUAAGGUGUCUUGGCUAAUGUGUCUUGGCUAAUGUGUCUUGGCUAAGGUGUCUUGGCUAAGGUGUCUUGGCUAAGGUGUCUUGGCUAAGGUGUCUUGGCUAAGGUGUCUUGGCUAAUGUGUCUCGGCUAAGGUGUCUUGGCUAAGGUGUCUUGGCUAAGGUGUCUUGGCUAAGGUGUCUUGGCUAAUGUGUCUCGGCUAAAGUGUCUUGGCUAAUGUGUCUCGGCUAAUGUGUCUUGGUUAAGGUGUCUUGGCUAAGGUGUCUUGGCUAAUGUGUCUUGGUCAAUGUGUCUUGGCUAAUGUGUCUUGGCUAAUGUGUCUUGGCUAAUGUGUCUUGGCUAAUGUGUCUUGGCUAAUGUGUCUCGGCUAAUGUGUCUUGGCUAAGGUGUCUUGGCUAAUGUGUCUUGGCUAAUGUGUCUUGGCUAAUGUGUCUUGGCUAAUGUGUCUUGGCUAAGGUGUCUUGGCUAAUGUGUCUCGGCUAAUGUGUCUUGGCUAAUGUGUCUUGGCUAAUGUGUCUUGGCUAAUGUGUCUUGGCUAAUGUGUCUUGGCUAAUGUGUCUUGGCUAAUGUGUCUUGGCUAAUGUGUCUCGGCUAAUGUGUCUCGGCUAAUGUGUCUUGGCUAAGGUGUCUUGGCUAAGGUGUCUUGGCUAAUGUGUUUUGCUAAGGUGUCUUGGCUAAGGUGUCUUGGCUAAUGUGUCUUGGCUAAUGUGUCUUGGCUAAGGUGUCUUGGCUAAUGUGUCUUGGCUAAUGUGUCUUGGCUAAUGUGUCUCGGCUAAUGUGUCUUGGCUAAGGUGUCUUGGCUAAGGUGUCUUGGCUAAGGUGUCUUGGCUAAGGUGUCUUGGCUAAGGUGUCUUGGCUAAUGUGUCUUGGCUAAGGUGUCUUGGCUAAGGUGUCUUGGCUAAUGUGUCUUGGCUAAUGUGUCUUGGCUAAUGUGUCUUGGCUAAUGUGUCUUGGCUAAUGUGUCUCGGCUAAGGUGUCUUGGCUAAUGUGUCUUGGCUAAGGUGUCUUGGCUAAGGUGUCUUGGCUAAUGUGUCUUGGCUAAUGUGUCUUGGCUAAGGUGUCUUGGCUAAGGUGUCUUGGCUAAGGUGUCUUGGCUAAUGUGUCUUGGCUAAUGUGUCUUGUCUAAUGUGUCUUGGCUAAUGUGUCUUGGCUAAGGUGUCUUGGCUAAUGUGUCUUGGCUAAUGUGUCUUGGCAAAAGUGUCUUGGCUAAGGUGUCUUGGCUAAUGUGUCUUGGCUAAUGUGUCUUGGCUAAGGUGUCUUGGCUAAGGUGUCUUGGCUAAUGUGUCUUGGCUAAUGUGUCUUGGCUAAGGUGUCUUGGCUAAUGUGUCUUGGCUUAUGUGUCUUGGCUAAUGUGUCUUGGCUAAGGUGUCUUGGCUAAGGUGUCUCGGCUAAUGUGUCUUGGCUAAUGUGUCUUGGCUAAUGUGUCUUGGCUAAUGUGUCUUGGCUAAUGUGUCUUGGCCAAUGUGUCUUGGCUAAUGUGUCUUGGCUUAUGUGUCUUGGCUUAUGUGUCUUGGCUAAUGUGUCUUGGCUAAUGUGUCUUGGCUAAUGUGUCUUGGCUUAUGUGUCUUGGCUAAGGUGUCUUGGCUAAGGUGUCUUGGCUAAAGUGUCUUGGCUAAGGUGUCUUGGCUAAUGUGUCUUGGCUAAUGUGUCUUGGCUAAUGUGUCUUGGCUAAUGUGUCUUGGCUAAGGUGUCUUGGCUAAUGUGUCUUGGCUAAUGUGUCUUGGCUAAUGUGUCUUGGCUAAGGUGUCUUGGCUAAUGUGUCUUGGCUAAUGUGUCUUGGCUAAAGUGUCUUGGCUAAGGUGUCUUGGCUAAGGUGUCUUGGCUAAUGUGUCUUGGCUAAGGUGUCUUGGCUAAGGUGUCUUGGCUAAUGUGUCUUGGCUAAGGUGUCUUGGCUAAGGUGUCUUGGCUAAUGUGUCUUGGCUAAGGUGUCUCGGCUAAUGUGUCUUGGCUAAUGUGUCUUGGCUAAGGUGUCUUGGCUAAUGUAUCUUGGCUAAGGUGUCUUGGCUAAUGUGUCUUGGCUAAUGUGUCUUGGCUAAUGUGUCUUGGCUAAUGUGUCUUGGCUAAUGUGUCUUGGCUAAUGUGUUGGCUAAUGUGUCUUGGCUAAUGUGUCUUGGCUAAUGUGUCUUGGCUAAUGUGUCUUGGCUAAUGUGUCUCGGCUAAUGUGUCUCGGCUAAUGUGUCUUGGCUAAGGUGUCUUGGCUAAGGUGUCUUGGCUAAUGUGUUUUGCUAAGGUGUCUUGGCUAAGGUGUCUUGGCUAAUGUGUCUUGGCUAAUGUGUCUUGGCUAAGGUGUCUUGGCUAAUGUGUCUUGGCUAAUGUGUCUUGGCUAAUGUGUCUUGGCUAAUGUGUCUCGGCUAAUGUGUCUUGGCUAAGGUGUCUUGGCUAAGGUGUCUUGGCUAAUGUGUCUUGGCUAAGGUGUCUUGGCUAAGGUGUCUUGGCUAAGGUGUCUUGGCUAAUGUGUCUCGGCUAAAGUG
Long non-coding RNA from Anopheles funestus (African malaria mosquito), 3607 nucleotides. RefSeq lists it as uncharacterized. The record is from RefSeq and is a predicted model, not a curated record. NCBI's taxonomy places the organism in Eukaryota, Metazoa, Arthropoda, Insecta, Diptera, Culicidae. The transcript has 6 exons.